GUGCCAGCAGCCGCGGUAAUACGGAGGGUGCAAGCGUUGUUCGGAAUUAUUGGGCGUAAAGAGCAUGUAGGCGGUCUGUUUAGUCUGGUGUGAAAUCCCGGGGCUCAACCCCGGAAGUGCGUUGGAUACUGGCAGACUUGAGUAUGGGAGAGGAAAGUGGAAUUCCGAGUGUAGGAGUGAAAUCCGUAGAUAUUCGGAGGAACACCAGUGGCGAACGCGGCUUUCUGGACCAAUACUGACGCUCAGAUGCGAAAGCGUGGGUAGCAAACAGGAUUAGAUACCCUGGUAGUCCACGCCGUAAACGAUGGGUACUAGGUGUUGCGGUGAACCACUCCUGCAGUGCCGCAGCUAACGCAUUAAGUACCCCGCCUGGGGAGUACGGCCGCAAGGCUAAAACUCAAAGGAAUUGACGGGGGCCCGCACAAGCGGUGGAGCAUGUGGUUUAAUUCGAUGCAACGCGAAGAACCUUACCUGGGUUUGACAUCCCGAUCGCACAUGAUGGAAACAUUUUGGUCAGUUCGGCUGGAUCACCUCCCU
Molecule: ribosomal RNA, 537 nt
Filed under: uncultured bacterium
Lineage: Bacteria
Description: bacterial SSU rRNA
Rfam family: Bacterial small subunit ribosomal RNA
Source: RNAcentral